GACCAGCCCUCUCCCAGUUGCUGCAGGCUCCAAGAAGAUGAGUGAUGGUCUUUGGAGGCAUCGGAUCAUACCUGGGGAACCUGCCCCAGUGCCUGUCACCGAGGAGCACCUGACCCAGGCCCAGCCGCCGAUCCUACUGUGAGAAAGGGGAGUCCUCUGUCAUCUGGUCCCGCUGAUGUCGUCUGCAGCCCAGACCAUAAACCAAGGACCGUGGAAGUUCAAGUGAACGAAUCAGCUCCCAUGAGACAGCUGGAAGAAGUAAGGAUCUGUUAGUUCACUUGGAGUGGCCCUACGCCCGGCGGAAGGAGUUCCAGGGCACUUAGCCCAGGCCAGGUGAGCUUCAGCGACACCACGUGGGAGCUGGGCAUUCACAAGGGGCAUUUCCGUUACACCGGGUGAGCACGUGGUGGCCACAAUGCCCCACCUGGAGGGCUCAGCCUCCACCAUCGGUGUGACAACCUCUUCAUAAACAGUCCCUUCCACGUCCUGGAGAGCCUUGUGGCUUGAUUUCAUCUCCCCUCUGACACAGCAGCACUGAAUUAAGAAUUUCUGCUGAAGGGAAACUGUCAACGGUAGGGGCCAGAGUAUGUCCUUUUCGGACAGCCUUCCCGGAUCCAUCUUGGCAGCCCUCUUUGUUGCCAGACUCAGGUUCGGCUGCUCAUUGCUCAAGAAUCCAACACUGAGAGACAAGUGCUGGGUAGAAGGAAAGACAGCUUUACUGGGGAAGCUGGGGAGAAGGUGGACUCAUGUCCCCAAGAACCAGCUCCUCCCUCCCCAGGUUUUGCUCAGAGAUUUUAUAGGGAAAAGAGGAAGGGGCUACGUGCUGGGAAGGGGUUGUGGGGUGUGUAUCAGCUCGUGCACGCUCUUCUGAUUGGCUGGUGGUGAGCUAACCGAGAGUCAGUGUCAUCAGCCUUCUGGUUCCAGCCAGUCAGGGUCUCCACGCCGGUGGUCAGCGUGCAGGUAACUUCUUCCACCUGCUGGGGUUUCAGUCUCUGCAAAACAGCUCAAA
Delphinapterus leucas (beluga whale) is the source of this 1009-nucleotide non-coding RNA. The record is from RefSeq and is a predicted model, not a curated record. NCBI's taxonomy places the organism in Eukaryota, Metazoa, Chordata, Mammalia, Artiodactyla, Monodontidae.